UACGGGGGGUGCGAGCGUUGUCCGGAAUCAUUGGGCGUAAAGAGCGUGUAGGCGGCCAACUAAGUCCUGCGUGAAAUCUCGGGGCUCAACCCCGAGCGGUCGUGGGAAACUGGUUGGCUAGAGUGCGGGAGAGGAGAGUGGAAUUCCUGGUGUAGCGGUGAAAUGCGCAGAUAUCAGGAAGAACACCCGUGGCGAAGGCGGCUCUCUGGAACGCAACUGACGCUGAGACGCGAAAGCGUGGGGAGCAAACAGG
This 253-nucleotide ribosomal RNA is filed under the name uncultured bacterium. RNAcentral's name for it is "partial 16S ribosomal RNA". It matches the Rfam family "Bacterial small subunit ribosomal RNA", at positions 524 to 776 of the family's 1533-position model. The record is from RNAcentral.